AUGGGGGCGUCCGAAUCUGUGCCGGAGACCUCCGUACACGAAUUCACCGUUAAGGAUUGCAACGGCAAGGAGGUGUGCCUGGACACGUACAAGGGGAAGGUCCUCCUCAUCGUCAACGUCGCCUCCAAAUGCGGGUUCACGGAGACUAAUUACACGCAGCUGACGGAGCUUUAUCAGAAGUACAGGGAGAAAGACUUUGAGAUAUUAGCAUUCCCCUGCAACCAGUUUUUGCGACAAGAGCCAGGCAGUGACCAGCAGAUCCAAGACUUUGCAUGCACAAGAUUCAAAGCUGAGUAUCCAGUUUUUCAGAAGGUGCGUGUAAAUGGCCCAGAUGCUGCGCCGCUUUACAAGUUUCUGAAAGCUAGCAAACCUGGUUUGUUUGGUUCAAGAAUCAAGUGGAACUUUACCAAGUUUCUUGUUGACAAGAAUGGAAAAGUAAUCAACAGAUACGCAACUGCUACCACUCCAUUUUCAUUCGAGAAAGACAUCCAGAAGGCACUUGAGGAGGAACCCUCCGACUCGCAGACAAAAAAAGAGGAGGAAUCUUCCGACUCGCAGAAGUAG
Molecule: ribosomal RNA, 564 nt
Filed under: Triticum aestivum (bread wheat)
Lineage: Eukaryota; Viridiplantae; Streptophyta; Magnoliopsida; Poales; Poaceae
Description: partial small subunit ribosomal RNA
Source: RNAcentral